GCAGGUGUAACUCAAUGGCAGAGUGUCCGCUUCCCAAGCCGAAUACGCGGGUUCGAUUCCCGUCACCUGCUCCA
This 74-nucleotide transfer RNA is filed under the name Clostridia bacterium. RNAcentral's name for it is "tRNA-Gly". It matches the Rfam family "tRNA". Rfam says of the family: Transfer RNA (tRNA) molecules are approximately 80 nucleotides in length. Their secondary structure includes four short double-helical elements and three loops (D, anti-codon, and T loops). Further hydrogen bonds mediate the characteristic L-shaped molecular structure. tRNAs have two regions of fundamental functional importance: the anti-codon, which is responsible for specific mRNA codon recognition, and the 3' end, to which the tRNAs corresponding amino acid is attached (by aminoacyl-tRNA synthetases). tRNAs cope with the degeneracy of the genetic code in two manners: having more than one tRNA (with a specific anti-codon) for a particular amino acid; and 'wobble' base-pairing, i.e. permitting non-standard base-pairing at the 3rd anti-codon position. RNAcentral also lists the same sequence under 1 other name. Lineage: Bacteria; Bacillati; Bacillota; Clostridia. The record is from RNAcentral.